This 465-nucleotide ribosomal RNA is filed under the name uncultured bacterium. RNAcentral describes it as "partial 16S ribosomal RNA". It matches the Rfam family "Bacterial small subunit ribosomal RNA", at positions 28 to 507 of the family's 1533-position model. The record is from RNAcentral.
GACGAACGCUGGCGGCGUGCUUAACACAUGCAAGUCGAACGGAAAGGCCCCUUUGGGGGUACUCGAGUGGCGCACGGGUGAGUAACACGUGAGUAACCUGCCCUUGACUUCGGGAUAACUUCAGGAAACUGGGGCUAAUACCGGAUAGGAAUCCUUGCUGCAUGGUGGGGGUUGGAAAGCUUCGGCGGUGUUGGAUGGACUCGCGGCUUAUCAGCUUGUUGGUGGGGUAGUGGCUUACCAAGGCUUUGACGGGUAGCCGGCCUGAGAGGGCGACCGGCCACAUUGGGACUGAGAUACGGCCCAGACUCCUACGGGAGGCAGCAGGGGGGAAUAUUGCACAAGGGGCGGAAGCCUGAUGCAGCAACGCCGCGUGCGGGAUGACGGCCUUCGGGUUGUAAACCGCUUUCAGCAGGGGCGAAGCUUGUGGUGACGGUACCUGCAGAAGAAGCACCGGCUAACUACGUG